Molecule: ribosomal RNA, 468 nt
Filed under: uncultured bacterium
Lineage: Bacteria
Description: partial 16S ribosomal RNA
Rfam family: Bacterial small subunit ribosomal RNA
Source: RNAcentral
GACGAACGCUGGCGGUGUGCUUAACACAUGCAAGUCGAACGGUAAGGCCCUUUCGGGGGUACACGAGUGGCGAACGGGUGAGUAACACGUGAGUAACCUGCCCUCAUCUCUGGGAUAACAGUCGGAAACGGUUGCUAAUACUGGAUAUGAGCUUGCAAGGCAUCUUGUGGGUUGGAAAGAUUUUUUUUGGUUGGGGAUGGACUCGUGGCCUAUCAGCUUGUUGGUGAGGUAGUGGCUCACCAAGGCUUCGACGGGUAGCCGGCCUGAGAGGGCGACCGGCCACAUUGGGACUGAGAUACGGCCCAAACUCCUACGGGAGGCAGCAGUGGGGAAUAUUGCACAAUGGACGGAAGUCUGAUGCAGCAACGCCGCGUGCGGGAUGACGGCCUUCGGGUUGUAAACCGCUUUCAAUUGUGACGAAGCUUUUUUGUGACGGUAGCAGUAGAAGAAGCACCGGCUAACUACGUG